This 301-nucleotide ribosomal RNA is filed under the name uncultured bacterium. Its description in RNAcentral is "partial 16S ribosomal RNA". It matches the Rfam family "Bacterial small subunit ribosomal RNA", at positions 509 to 807 of the family's 1533-position model. The record is from RNAcentral.
CAGCAGCCGCGGUAAUACGGAGGGUGCAAGCGUUAUCCGGAUUCACUGGGUUUAAAGGGCGCGUAGGCGGCCUGUUAAGUCGGAUGUGAAAGCCCGGGGCUCAACCCCGGAACUGCAUCCGAGACUGGCAGGCUUGAGACCGGGAGAGGAGGGUGGAAUAUCCAGUGUAGAGGUGAAAUUCGUAGAUAUUGGAUGGAACACCGGUGGCGAAAGCGGCUCUCUGGCCCGGAUCUGACGCUGAGGCGCGAAAGCGUGGGGAGCAAACAGGAUUAGAUACCCCUGUAGUCCCUGUCUCUUAUAC